UACGUAGGGUGCGAGCGUUGUCCGGAAUUAUUGGGCGUAAGGAGCUCGUAGGCGGUUUGUCGCGUCUGCUGUGAAAUCCCGAGGCUCAACCUCGGGCCUGCAGUGGGUACGGGCAGACUGGAGUGCGGUAGGGGAGAAUGGAACUCCUGGUGUAGCGGUGGAAUGCGCAGAUAUCAGGAGGAACACCGGUGGCGAAGGCGGUUCUCUGGGCAUUACCUGACGCUGAGGAGCGAAAGUGUGGGGAGCGAACAGG
RNAcentral lists this ribosomal RNA (253 nucleotides) under uncultured bacterium. RNAcentral's name for it is "partial 16S ribosomal RNA". It matches the Rfam family "Bacterial small subunit ribosomal RNA", at positions 524 to 776 of the family's 1533-position model. The record is from RNAcentral.